GUCUACGGCCAUACCACCCUGAACACACCCAAUCUCAUCUGAUCUUGGAAGCUAAGCAGGGUCCGACCUGGUUAGUACUUGGAUGGGAGAAAGCUAAAUUUGAAAAUA
RNAcentral lists this ribosomal RNA (108 nucleotides) under Microcebus murinus (gray mouse lemur). Lineage: Eukaryota; Metazoa; Chordata; Mammalia; Primates; Cheirogaleidae. The record is from RNAcentral.